This 120-nucleotide ribosomal RNA is filed under the name uncultured bacterium. Its description in RNAcentral is "partial 16S ribosomal RNA". It matches the Rfam family "Bacterial small subunit ribosomal RNA", at positions 215 to 334 of the family's 1533-position model. The record is from RNAcentral.
UCACUAUUGGAGCGGCCGAUAUCAGAUUAGCUAGUUGGUGGGGUAAAGGCCUACCAAGGCCACGAUCUGUAGCUGGUUUGAGAGGACGACCAGCCACACUGGGACUGAGACACGGCCCAG